UCUGGGAUAUGGGUAAAAAGUACCUCGAUCUCGUUGAACGUUAUCCGUGCCCCAUGUCCUACGCCCGUGGGCACAUCUCUUCAAAAUUUUCAAUCACUGUUUGACGCUGGAAGAGUGCUUCCACCUUCGCCAAGCCUUAGUAGAUGGAACGAAUCUUGAGGAUUUUAAAGCAGUAGUAGUUGAACUGGAAAAACAUUUUACACCAUAUCAGCAAGGACUAAAGCCAUGGACACCUCCGGCCGAUCAUCCGUCUUCCGUUUUACCUUUCCCGCCCUGGCAUUGUCAACCCUACGUUAGGCCAUCGCCAGAGAGAACAUAAAAAGAAAAAUUCCAGCUAAUUAUGGCAGAGGAGGCUAAACGGAAACGCGAGGAAGAAGAUAACGGCCAGGAGAAACCUGAAGGUGUUCUUUCAAAAAACAAGAUGAAGAAGCUUGCGAGACUAGCGAGAAAUCCUAAGAAACAGGCACGCCUCGCAAGACAGGAUCUUGUUAUGUGCAAUCAGUGCUCGAAUCUUCCUGUAAUCAUUAAAGCUUACAGCUACGUAGAAGAC
Long non-coding RNA from Daphnia carinata, 550 nucleotides. RefSeq lists it as uncharacterized. The transcript is spliced from 3 exons. The record is from RefSeq and is a predicted model, not a curated record. NCBI's taxonomy places the organism in Eukaryota, Metazoa, Arthropoda, Branchiopoda, Diplostraca, Daphniidae.